UCCUAUAGAAGCCAGCAUGUCCUAAGAAUGAGCAAAUUUUUUGACUGAUUUGGGUGGUAAAAGAUUUGCAAUCAAGUCUACUUUGACUUUAUCCACUUCAAUUCUCUUCUUUGAGAUAACAUGACCAGGUACUAUGCCUUCUUUGAUCAUGAAUUAUUAUUUUUUUCAAUUAAACACUAAGUGUUUCUCCUUACACCUUUCUAAGACCAGUCUUAGGUGAAGUAGGCACUC
This 231-nucleotide long non-coding RNA is filed under the name Elaeis guineensis (African oil palm). Its description in RNAcentral is "long non-coding RNA (EGUI_LNC025791)". Lineage: Eukaryota; Viridiplantae; Streptophyta; Magnoliopsida; Arecales; Arecaceae. The record is from RNAcentral.